AUCUUUUCCUGGAGGUUGCUCCUUGUGGAGUUUUUGUAAGCCUACAAUACUGACUCUUCACUUGGGAUCUGAUUGCACUGGGAAUUUAUCCUGGGAAGUUGAAGCCAGCAUCUUCAACAGAUUGAUCCCACCACUCUCCCCUCCAAUGAAGUGUCCAAAGAACCACAUAGAUCUUGAGAGUGUUUGUACAAAGCACAGUGAAGUUGAACUUGAACUCUCAUGUCCAUUUUCUCCCUUCUACUUCUGUUUCUGCCUGGAGCAAAUGCUGCUUAAUCUUUUUCCAUGUUCUUAAUCAGUGUCUUUGGCCUGGGAAAUAUCCACCAGAAGACUCUUGUUAUUCAAUAUUACAAGGAAGAAAAAACAACAUAAAGGAAAUUACUUCACCUCCUUUUAAUCAUUUGUUUUUUGUAACAUUUGUUUGAAUACGAAACAAUGUGGUAAGAAACUUCAAAUUUUGCUCUCAUCAUACUAGGAAGGGCAGAACAACAAAGGUAGGAUGCCUGUGAGGGAAGCAGAGUAUGUGGUUUUCUAAAUGGCAAAGACACUUUACAUAGCCUCAGUCCUAAACCUGCUCACACCUAAACUUUACUUCAACACCCAACAUCCUCAGGUUAUGGCCUGAGAGGGAUUACUAAAACGUCAGAAGUUUGUUGGUGUUGCAAGCAUCAGGACUCUAUUACAGGUUUUGACUGAAUCUUCAGGGUUGGCUCUGUCCCAUUCAUAAGUAGAGUUACUACUUUUUCAAGGUCAUGAGAGAAGACCAUGUGGAAGCCCAGAGAAAUAAGAAAAACGAUCUGAAGGCAGCUUCCUUCGUCCUCCUUCCUCUGCUCUGGAUUUGUAUUUAUUAUUUAAAAAAUGCUGAGGAAAUUUUCAAAAUCCGUAAGCAGUUAGUUUUACACCCAAUAUUAAGUUUGUGUUUGAGCAUCCUCUUUACAGAUCUUUCCUCUCAAUACCUAGAUUUAUCUGGAAACAUGAAUGAGAUUCUGUACUUCAGAAUAAAUGGUGUAUGGAUUUAUGUAUAUGCUUUUAAGCUUGAGCUUGUAUCAAGAAACUAAAGAAUUGCAUUCAAACCAUGUGCCUGUUUUCACCAUCUGUAUUAAAUGUCAAAACUAUUUCCUUCUUAAAGACUUUAGAAAACAGGUCAGUGAUGCAAACUUGUCUUUUUGCUUUCUAAAAGAAAAGAUGGUAAAUGGCAACAAGUAGAAAAACUGGGAGUUUACCAAAGAAGGUCAUGCUGUCCCUCCUUUGUGGCCCCCAAAGGGAGCUGACUGAGUGCACUGAAUCAGUGCAUUUCUCUUCCUCCUCUUUCUCUUGCCAGCUGCUUACCCCAGCAUGCUUUCACUUGAGCAUCAGUAAAGGUCUUUGCGCUUGGCAGCAAGACCAGAGUGACCUCUGAGAAGUAAAAACCAAUAAUAAAUAUUUGU
Gallus gallus (chicken) is the source of this 1424-nucleotide long non-coding RNA. Lineage: Eukaryota; Metazoa; Chordata; Aves; Galliformes; Phasianidae. The record is from Ensembl.